AGGACUCAAAGAAUCUUUUGAACAGAAGAGUAGGUUACAAAAGUCCUGUGGGGAUUCCGUACAAAUGAAAGAGAUGAAGAAAGGAACUGACAUUAGUCAAAAGGCAGGAAGAAAAUCUGAGAUACUGAGAAACAGUGAUAUUCUUGAGUUAAAACAUGUUAAGUGUGUGAGUGUUUCUAGGAAAAAGCUAUCCUUUAAACAUGGCUAUGACAGAAACUUCAGAAAAAGUUCACACCAUUAUAAUAAUAAAUAUGGGGAAGGGCUCAGAGACACAGUUGAGGGGUUUGGUGUAUAUCAGAAUACUGGACUGAAAGAGAAUGAAAAGGACAGAUGUGGGGAGACCUUAAGGAAGAGCUCCCAUUCCCAUCUUGAAUAUCAGAGAUAUUAUAGUCAAGGAAGCCUGUUUAAAUGCAGGGUGUGUGAGAAAGCCUUCAAGUGGCGAUCAAACUGUAUCCGACAUGAGAAAAUUCACACUGGAGUGAAGCCUUACAAAUGCAGUUCAUGUGAGAAAGCUUUCCAGCGUUUGUCAACCUACCGUCUGCACCAGAAAACCCAUACUAAACAGAAACAUGAAUCCAGGAA
RNAcentral lists this long non-coding RNA (582 nucleotides) under Rattus norvegicus (Norway rat). RNAcentral describes it as "long non-coding RNA NONRATT029102". Lineage: Eukaryota; Metazoa; Chordata; Mammalia; Rodentia; Muridae. The record is from RNAcentral.